RNAcentral lists this small RNA (86 nucleotides) under Flavobacterium phragmitis. RNAcentral describes it as "Flavo-1 RNA". It matches the Rfam family "Flavo-1 RNA". The record is from RNAcentral. Lineage: Bacteria; Pseudomonadati; Bacteroidota; Flavobacteriia; Flavobacteriales; Flavobacteriaceae.
UCCUAGCCCAGAUAGAAGCGGUAUCCUUUUGUGGUCUCGUAAAGAAAACGAGACCACAAAAGAUAUAGCGGAUAGCUGGAAUUAGC